This 254-nucleotide ribosomal RNA is filed under the name uncultured bacterium. RNAcentral's name for it is "partial 16S ribosomal RNA". It matches the Rfam family "Bacterial small subunit ribosomal RNA", at positions 524 to 776 of the family's 1533-position model. The record is from RNAcentral.
UACGUAGGGGGCAAGCGUUGUCCGGAUUCAUUGGGCGUAAAGCGCUCGUAGGCGGUUCGGUAAGUCGGGUGUGAAAUCUCCGUGCUCAACACGGAGCGGCCACCUGAUACUGCCGUGACUCGAGUCCGGUAGGGGAGUGUGGAAUUCCCGGUGUAGCGGUGAAAUGCGCAGAUAUCGGGAGGAACACCAGUAGCGAAGGCGGCACUCUGGGCCGUGACCGACGCUGAGGAGCGAAAGCGUGGGUAGCAAACAGG